This is a long non-coding RNA of Oncorhynchus tshawytscha (Chinook salmon), 1614 nucleotides long. The record is from Ensembl. Lineage: Eukaryota; Metazoa; Chordata; Actinopteri; Salmoniformes; Salmonidae.
UCCUUAUUAAAGAGGAUGAGAUUUUCUAGGAGGAUAAAAAAUUCCAGAUUGGUUCAACAUGUUUGAAAGUUUGAAAGGGUAUAGCAUUCACAAGUACCAACAUCAUCAGCUGUCCUCUUCUAAAUGUCAGAUUGUUUAGAGUGAAUAGAAUGUUGGAAGUCAGAUUUAAAAUGGGAGAUUUAAAUGAAAGGAGAUUUAGAAUGUUGAAGAUAUCCCGUUAAAGAGGAAGAGGAUUUCUAGGAUAGCCUGAGUAAAAGGCAGUUUACUUUGGGCACCUCAGUCAUCCAAACUUCCAAAUACUGCCCCCUAUCCCUAAAAAGUUAAAGUAAUGACUGACGGCCAUUUCUCUUUGCUUAUGUGAGCUGUUCUUGACAUAAUAUGGACUUGAUCUUUUACCAAACAGGGUUAUCUUCUGUAUACCACCCCUACCUUGUCACAACACAACUGAUUGGUUAUCUUCUGUAUACCACCCCUACCUUGUCACAACACAACUGAUCGGCUCAAAUGCAUUAAGAAGGAAAGACAUUCCACAAAAUGUGCUCAAAAUGUGCUCAAAAUGUGCUCAAAAUGUGCUCAGAGUGUUGAAAAACUGUUUUUUUUAUGAUCUGUUUUGGGUUUUGUACUAAUCAUUGCUAAACUGUACCACAGUAGUAGUUGUGAACACUGCCCCUCCCUCCCCCAGAGCUGGUUGAAGAGGUGAGUAUUUAUGACGUCCUGUGGGAGACCAGUGAGAGAGUAGCAGAUGAGAUCCUCGACUCAGCCUUCCUCAGAGGGAUGUAUUCCAGACGUCUGCCUGCCCGCUGCUAUGCUGACUUCUGCCACCAGGAGGUGCUAUACCUGGACAGAGUCAUCACCAUGCUGCGGGUGCUGAUCAGAACAGUCCAGGGUCCUCCAGACAUCAUGAUGUUUCUCCAGAGAACACAUCAACGCUACCAGGAGUCACUGAAGAAGGCCCAGAUCCAAACUCCACCACACCUGAACCUGUCCUCCAUCCAGCCCUCUGCAGCUGUGCGUCAGUACCUCCAGAGCUUCCAUGACAUUGUAAAUGAGGAGCCCAUUUACUGGCUGGUGUCUCUGCUGCCCAGAGCCCUGCUCAGACCUUACCUGGCACAGAACCUGCCCCUGGGAGAGAGGACCAGACCAGACCCCAGCCCCUGCCUCUACCCCUGGCUAAACCUCUUCCCCUGCCCCUGCUACCAGUGGGGGGGAGAGGACAUGAAGCCUGACCAGAGGAACCAGAAGGAUGAGUCUGGGACAUAUUACAGUACCAGGAUGUGAUAGACGUCUAUAAGGCUGUCAACAUCUUCAGAGUCCAGAUGAUCAACGAGAAGUCUCUCUUCACCUCCAGCUGGUUUCCCACUGGUGACAAGGAGGAAGAGGAGGACCAACCCAACCUGUGGUCUGUGGAGUCUGGUCCUGACGUUAGGGUGAAGCUGUAGCAGUGCAGCUGUAGAAUACAGGGAGCUGAGUGUGUAAGGCUGUGUGUGUUGGCUUUCACACUGGGCAGGACUGUUCCUCUUGUCAGACAUAUUCCAAUAUUCCACUUUUAUGUUAGUAACUUCCCCCAAAUAUCUACUGUUUAAACUGUAUUAAUGCAAUAACACAAUGAAUGUU